ACCUUGGAACAGUAGAGCAUCGUCAGUGCAGCUAUGGCCAACAGUGUUUGGGGCUAUGACAGUGCAUCUCAAAAAUCUCAGAUCGAUGAUGACUACUAUCAACGAUGAAAACCAAAAGAAAGAGGCAAAAAACUAACUGAAGCAGGGAGGGAUUUUCUUAAGAGAAAUCUGACGAUUGCCUGCCGACCAAAAAUUAGGCUUUGAUGCUCAAGGA
RNAcentral lists this long non-coding RNA (214 nucleotides) under Elaeis guineensis (African oil palm). RNAcentral describes it as "long non-coding RNA (EGUI_LNC026726)". Lineage: Eukaryota; Viridiplantae; Streptophyta; Magnoliopsida; Arecales; Arecaceae. The record is from RNAcentral.